Molecule: ribosomal RNA, 467 nt
Filed under: uncultured bacterium
Lineage: Bacteria
Description: partial 16S ribosomal RNA
Rfam family: Bacterial small subunit ribosomal RNA
Source: RNAcentral
GACGAACGCUGGCGGCGUGCUUAACACAUGCAAGUCGAACGGAAAGGCCCUGCUUUUGUGGGGUGCUCGAGUGGCGAACGGGUGAGUAACACGUGAGUAACCUGCCCUUGACUUUGGGAUAACUUCAGGAAACUGGGGCUAAUACCGGAUAGGAGCUCCUGCUGCAUGGUGGGGGUUGGAAAGUUUCGGCGGUUGGGGAUGGACUCGCGGCUUAUCAGCUUGUUGGUGGGGUAGUGGCUUACCAAGGCUUUGACGGGUAGCCGGCCUGGGAGGGUGACCGGCCACAUUGGGACUGAGAUACGGCCCAGACUCCUACGGGAGGCAGCAGUGGGGAAUAUUGCACAAUGGGCGGAAGCCUGAUGCAGCAACGCCGGGUGCGGGAUGACGGCCUUCGGGUUGUAAACCGCUUUCGCCUGUGACGAAGCGUGAGUGACGGUAAUGGGUAAAGAAGCACCGGCUAACUACGU